Numida meleagris (helmeted guineafowl) is the source of this 1970-nucleotide long non-coding RNA. RefSeq lists it as uncharacterized. Lineage: Eukaryota; Metazoa; Chordata; Aves; Galliformes; Numididae. The transcript has 2 exons. The record is from RefSeq and is a predicted model, not a curated record.
UGCCAGCCAGACACUUGUCAGAAAUUCAAAGGGAUCUUGGAUGAGGAAUCCUUAUUCACAACAACGAACUUGCAAAAUAUACAGAGAAACCUGCUAAGAAAUGUAAGCCAAAAUAGAGAAAACAGUCACUGCAAAGAUAAGCGGCCCAGGACCUUCCUUCACCCUCAGUGGCUGAAGGCGAUGGGUCCCCUUUAGUCAAGUGCAGAAGUGGGCACUCUCCUGAAUGCUGCUAAGACGUUUGUAUUUCAAAUACACAAUAUCAAGGGAUUUUAGGUCAGUCUUAAGGACUGGGCUAGUUAUGGUUCAGUUGGGAAGUUCUAUAUAUUUCAUGUAAAUCCUCAUUGUGAUGAUGAAACCACAUGCAUCACAAUGCCCUUUUAGCAAACACAGAUCCAAAACACCCGGAGCUUGGAGGCCAGCAGGAAGUCACACAUGCUCCAACUAGCAUCCAGCGUGUUCAAAGCACCAAGUGAAGAGACUCCUUGUUCCAGAGCCCAGGACUGUAUGACAUAGAAGAGGAAUAAGGAGAGCUGGAGUAGAAGGACAAGAGAAAAGCGAUCAAUUGGUGCAACUCAUCUCAAAAACCCAACAAACGUCAGUAACUUUCUGCCUAUGUUCUGCUCUGACUCUGCCACAGCUCCACCUUGGUUCUGUUCAUGGGAGUUCUGCUCAUGACAAUGGUACCUACUGGUAAAACAAAAAAUUUAGAGUACAGGUUAACACACAGCCUGCGGUGACAGCAAACAACGACUGGACAGUACGGGAACCUGAAGUUCAUUAUGGGUAAACACGCUUUUUCUGUGCACGUGAAAGGAAUAUUUGACAGUGUAACAGGACACAGCGCGUGCUAGGGUGCAAAAGAACAUGUGACUCACACCCGCUAGCACACCGGGAUGUUGGGAAGAUCAAGUAAUGGGUGAAAAGUGCUCUGAAGUCAGAGAGAGCUAAGUGUUGAGGAUUAUAUUCUGUUUCAGCACUUCGCUGCAACUGCUGCUCCCGUGCACCAAGCGCAAUAUAAGCACAAUUUGCCUAUAGAAGGGUAAAUGGCAUGCAGGUAAGCAAAAUUCAGAAAUUAAUCCCCGUCUUGCUAUCUGCAGAAUACUUGAAGUCAUCAGACAACAGCGAAUACUUACAAUCGAUUCAUGCUAAACACAAUGAGCAUGUGAGAAUGUCCCAAAAUACUGGCAAACAUCUCAAAAGGCAACAACUUUUCUUUAAAAUACUGGGGUCAAGUCAGCAGCCAUGCACUGCACUUAAGCAUGGAACACGAAAGGAACCUGAUAUUCUUGCACAGAGGUGACCUGAAGGAAGCUGUGCUCUGAUUUUGCUCUUGUUUGGAUUCAUAUUCCAAUGCUAAAACGCCAAGUAUUAAGGCAACAGGAAUAUUAUGCUAUCAUGUUAUUUACCUGUGGUGGGAGGGAGAUAAGAGUUUUAACGGAGCUGAAGCAAGUAAAAAAACUCUACUUCAAAGGAAAAACUAAUUAUGUGUCUUACUAAUUACAUUUUAAAAAGAUACACAGGGCAUUACCGACGAAUCCUGCAAAACUGAAAACACAACUGUGUCUCAGGCUGCCUCGGCUUGGAAAAGAGCUCCUGAGAAUUACCAAGGGAUUCCUGCUUCCCGCAAACACAGCGCCACUAAUAUUCUCCAGAUUUGCUGGCCCUGCUACGAACCAUCUCAAGAAAAUGUUUACAUUAAAGUCGGGUUCAGCGAGGAGGUCAGCUAACUUUAAGACUUUAAGAAAUCAGCAGCCGUCUUGUCUCCCCAGCAGUGCUGGGGGAUGGGAAUUUUCCUUCUUUCUUUCUUUUUUUUUUUUUAAUUUUUUGAAGAAAAUCGUUAACUUGCUGCGUGGCCAAAAUUGCAGUUUUUCACUCCGUUUUUCUUUGCUGUCAGUGAUGUGAAACUUCUGUUUUGUUGUUGUCUUUUUCUGUCUGUUGUGAAGCAUCCACCAAUAAAUUGUCAGAACGUC